UUAAAUUGAAGAGUUUGAUCAUGGCUCAGAUUGAACGCUGGCGGCAGGCCUAACACAUGCAAGUCGAACGGUAACAGGAAACAGCUUGCUGUUUCGCUGACGAGUGGCGGACGGGUGAGUAAUGUCUGGGAAACUGCCUGAUGGGGGGGGAUAACUACUGGAAACGGUAGCUAAUACCGCAUAACGUCGCAAGACCAAAGAGGGGGACCUUCGGGCCUCUUGCCAUCGGAUGUGCCCAGAUGGGAUUAGCUUGUUGGUGGGGUAACGGCUCACCAAGGCGACGAUCCCUAGCUGGUCUGAGAGGAUGACCAGCCACACUGGAACUGAGACACGGUCCAGACUCCUACGGGAGGCAGCAGUGGGGAAUAUUGCACAAUGGGCGCAAGCCUGAUGCAGCCAUGCCGCGUGUAUGAAGAAGGCCUUCGGGUUGUAAAGUACUUUCAGCGGGGAGGAAGGGAGUAAAGUUAAUACCUUUACUCAUUGACGUUACCCGCAGAAGAAGCACCGGCUAACUCCGUGCCAGCAGCCGCGGUAAUACGGAGGGUGCAAGCGUUAAUCGGAAUUACUGGGCGUAAAGCGCACGCAGGCGGUUUGUUAAGUCAGAUGUGAAAUCCCCGGGCUCAACCUGGGAACUGCAUCUGAUACUGGCAAGCUUGAGUCUCGUAGAGGGGGGUAGAAUUCCAGGUGUAGCGGUGAAAUGCGUAGAGAUCUGGAGGAAUACCGGUGGCGAAGGCGGCCCCCUGGACGAAGACUGACGCUCAGGUGCGAAAGCGUGGGGAGCAAACAGGAUUAGAUACCCUGGUAGUCCACGCCGUAAACGAUGUCGACUUGGAGGUUGUGCCCUUGAGGCGUGGCUUCCGGAGCUAACGCGUUAAGUCGACCGCCUGGGGAGUACGGCCGCAAGGUUAAAACUCAAAUGAAUUGACGGGGGCCCGCACAAGCGGUGGAGCAUGUGGUUUAAUUCGAUGCAACGCGAAGAACCUUACCUGGUCUUGACAUCCACGGAAGUUUUCAGAGAUGAGAAUGUGCCUUCGGGAACCGUGAGACAGGUGCUGCAUGGCUGUCGUCAGCUCGUGUUGUGAAAUGUUGGGUUAAGUCCCGCAACGAGCGCAACCCUUAUCCUUUGUUGCCAGCGGUCCGGCCGGGAACUCAAAGGAGACUGCCAGUGAUAAACUGGAGGAAGGUGGGGAUGACGUCAAGUCAUCAUGGCCCUUACGACCAGGGCUACACACGUGCUACAAUGGCGCAUACAAAGAGAAGCGACCUCGCGAGAGCAAGCGGACCUCAUAAAGUGCGUCGUAGUCCGGAUUGGAGUCUGCAACUCGACUCCAUGAAGUCGGAAUCGCUAGUAAUCGUGGAUCAGAAUGCCACGGUGAAUACGUUCCCGGGCCUUGUACACACCGCCCGUCACACCAUGGGAGUGGGUUGCAAAAGAAGUAGGUAGCUUAACCUUCGGGAGGGCGCUUACCACUUUGUGAUUCAUGACUGGGGUGAAGUCGUAACAAGGUAACCGUAGGGGAACCUGCGGUUGGAUCACCUCCUUACCUUAAAGAAGC
Molecule: ribosomal RNA, 1556 nt
Filed under: Escherichia coli
Lineage: Bacteria; Pseudomonadati; Pseudomonadota; Gammaproteobacteria; Enterobacterales; Enterobacteriaceae
Also listed under: 1 other name
Description: bacterial SSU rRNA
Rfam family: Bacterial small subunit ribosomal RNA
Source: RNAcentral